GUUUUGUUUAAACAACCCAAAGUUAUAUUUUUUAACAUUAUCAAAAUUGUCUAGUGAGAAAAUAUAAGUAGGUACUUAACAUAAUUUAGCUUAUUUGAAAUUGAAAAAUCGGGAAUACUUUAUAGAUGUCAUACAGCAGUCAGUAAUAAUAGUAUGUGGUUUCAGAUCAAAUUCUACUUUUUCAGUUCAAUAAUUGGUUAUCUGUUACGCUCGUGUAAUCUGAGUCUUGAGACUUCCGAUAAAGAGAAACGCAGAACAUUAUUUUUCAUAUCUUUUGUUUUCGAAUAGACAUUUUAAUAUUAUGUGUGGUGAAUCACUAACAUAAUGUUCUAAAUUUAAGUUUAAUGUAAAUUUGUUUAGUAAUUUUUGUACUUCCU
Molecule: non-coding RNA, 377 nt
Organism: Cinara cedri
Lineage: Eukaryota; Metazoa; Arthropoda; Insecta; Hemiptera; Aphididae
Source: the annotation of a GenBank genome assembly